Vicia villosa (hairy vetch) is the source of this 1578-nucleotide long non-coding RNA. RefSeq lists it as uncharacterized. The record is from RefSeq and is a predicted model, not a curated record. Lineage: Eukaryota; Viridiplantae; Streptophyta; Magnoliopsida; Fabales; Fabaceae. The transcript has 6 exons.
UCAAAUUUCUCUGAAAUCAUCACUCUCUAUGGUCCUUUUUCACGUGUUUCUUCCUCUUCAGUACUGUCUUCUUUCUCUUUCUGUAUCUCACCACCAUCCUCUUAUCUCUCAUUCAUUUCUCUUCUCUCUAUUCCUUCUCUUUCUCUUUCUGUUUGUCAUCCUUCUCUAACGUAUGAUUUUUGCCCUAAUACCAACAAUUUUCAGUUUCAAAUAUGUGAUAUUUGAUAUACCCUAAUCCCAAUAUUUUUUCGGUUACAAAUCUGUGAUAUUUGAUUUGUGUGGGUGCGAUUUUUGGUUUCAGGUGUGUUUCGACGGUUGAAAGCAAGCAUAUGUGUGGCGACCAUGGUUUUAGGUGUGUUCUUACCGUGGAAACGGGCUUGAGACGGUUGUGAUGGUGGUGGUUGAAACGGGAUAGCAACGAUAUGAUUGUAGUUGGCGGUUUCCGUCGACGAGUGUGGUUCUCUAGCAGAUAAAUGUGAAAAGCUUUAUGGUGAAGUGAAAUGGACGGGGGAAAUCACUGUUUGAAAGGUUUAUAAAGGUUUAUAAUUGGUUAUCUGUUUAAAUUUAGGGUUUUCAGAUUGUGAUUAGGGUUUUUGUGUUUAAUGUGAUAAUUUUGUGAUAAUCACAAUACUAAUAUGUGACUUUAGAUGCAACAGUUAUGUUAGCUUUCAUAAGUUGGUCUUUAUGCAGUUAAACAGUUUGAGUCCGAUUCUUUAUAAAGCUUUGAUGAUUUAAGCACGUCAAUCACUGUUUGCAUUAUUUCAAGUUUAGCAAUCCAGUUGAAUCCGAUUGAACAGGGCAAGAUGGACAGUGGAAGCUGCAACCAACCACAUUUUGUUGUGAGUACAAAGGAUAUUAAAUUUGGUAUGAGUUUUUUGAGUUGCUAAAUGCUGUCAAAUAUUUUGGUAUCUUUCGCGAGUUAUUGAAAACUACCAAUAUUGAGUUGGAUAGCUUGAAUGUGUGGAUGAUGCCAUUGGUUUUGCAUAAAAAAUUCCAGCAUUGUGUAAUGAUAGUCCUGCAAAUGAAUAUUUGAGAAAGAACACUAUGGAUGAUAUUGAAUCCUUCUAACAGGGGCUUUUGACAACUUUUGACUAUUUGAAGUGUGUUAAGAUCUCAUUGGGGUCGUCGAUGAAGUUGGAUACAUGUUGACCCAUAUGGGGGGAAAGAAGGUGCAGGUGAAUCUGGUGUUGAGGGAUUUGUGGGACAAUACGUUGAAUUGUACAUUAUGGAAGAGCUAUGCACAACAGUAAUUUGAAUUCAAACCAAAUCUACUUGAUCCGUCAGCCCCUACCGUUAUAUUCUUACAGUAUGCUAAAGUCAAUGAAGAAGGGAAAGACCCCCCUCGCUGUUACAAAUACCUACUACAUAACCAAAUUACAUAUUAACGAGGAUAUCCCAGAGAUAAUAGCUUUUCGUCAACGGAUGAUAUUUUGCCUUUAGUAGCUUCUAUUUUUUUGAGAAGGCUGCUGCUUCCAAUGGUUCAUCAUAAUACUGCUUUGCUUGCAACUCUGGCUAACUAUAACAGGCAUUUGAGUGAAUCGAAUUACAAACAUUAAUUGUAGAUGGACUAAAAAAGGA